GGCAGGAUGGCCGAGCGGUCUAAGGCGCUAGACUAAGGAUCUAGUCCGAAAGGGCGUGGGUUCGAAUCCCACUCCUGUCA
Transfer RNA from Wallemia sebi, 80 nucleotides. It matches the Rfam family "tRNA". From Rfam's summary of the family: Transfer RNA (tRNA) molecules are approximately 80 nucleotides in length. Their secondary structure includes four short double-helical elements and three loops (D, anti-codon, and T loops). The record is from Rfam. Lineage: Eukaryota; Fungi; Basidiomycota; Wallemiomycetes; Wallemiales; Wallemiaceae.